AGUGAACGCUGGCGGUAGGCCUAACACAUGCAAGUCGAACGGCAGCACAGUAAGAGCUUGCUCUUACGGGUGGCGAGUGGCGGACGGGUGAGGAAUACAUCGGAAUCUACUUUUUCGUGGGGGAUAACGUAGGGAAACUUACGCUAAUACCGCAUACGAACUACGGGUGAAAGCAGGGGAUCUUCGGACAUUGCGCGAGUGAAUGAGCCGAUGUCGGAUUAGCUAGUUGGCGGGGUAAAGGCCCACCAAGGCGACGAUCCGUAGCUGGUCUGAGAGGAUGAUCAGCCACACUGGAACUGAGACACGGUCCAGACUCCUACGGGAGGCAGCAGUGGGGAAUAUUGGACAAUGGGCGCAAGCCUGAUCCAGCCAUACCGCGUGGGUGAAGAAGGCCUUCGGGUUGUAAAGCCCUUUUGUUUGGAAAGAAAAGCAGCAGGUUAAUACCCCGCUGUUCUGACGGUACCCAAAGAAUAAGCACCGGCUAACUUCGUG
Molecule: ribosomal RNA, 492 nt
Filed under: uncultured bacterium
Lineage: Bacteria
Description: partial 16S ribosomal RNA
Rfam family: Bacterial small subunit ribosomal RNA
Source: RNAcentral